This 461-nucleotide ribosomal RNA is filed under the name uncultured bacterium. Its description in RNAcentral is "bacterial SSU rRNA". It matches the Rfam family "Bacterial small subunit ribosomal RNA", at positions 29 to 534 of the family's 1533-position model. The record is from RNAcentral.
AACGAACGCUGGCGGCAUGCCUAACACAUGCAAGUCGAACGAGACCUUCGGGUCUAGUGGCGCACGGGUGCGUAACGCGUGGGAAUCUGCCCUUGGGUUCGGAAUAACUUCGGGAAACUGAAGCUAAUACCGGAUGAUGACGUAAGUCCAAAGAUUUAUCGCCCAAGGAUGAGCCCGCGUAGGAUUAGCUAGUUGGUGAGGUAAAGGCUCACCAAGGCGACGAUCCUUAGCUGGUCUGAGAGGAUGAUCAGCCACACUGGGACUGAGACACGGCCCAGACUCCUACGGGAGGCAGCAGUGGGGAAUAUUGGACAAUGGGCGAAAGCCUGAUCCAGCAAUGCCGCGUGAGUGAUGAAGGCCUUAGGGUUGUAAAGCUCUUUUACCCGGGAUGAUAAUGACAGUACCGGGAGAAUAAGCUACCGGCUAACUCCGUGCCAGCAGCCGCGGUAAUGUGACUACUG